Long non-coding RNA from Alosa alosa (allis shad), 382 nucleotides. RefSeq lists it as uncharacterized. The record is from RefSeq and is a predicted model, not a curated record. NCBI's taxonomy places the organism in Eukaryota, Metazoa, Chordata, Actinopteri, Clupeiformes, Clupeidae. The transcript has 3 exons.
GUGCUGUUUUUACCAUGAGCCUGAUAAUGUUUCACUUCACUGGAAAGAUUGUUCAAGGGUGUCAAAAAGCACUUCAAGGAUGCAAGGAUGCAGAAUGUACUCUUCUAGCAUCCAGACCUCUGGACCAUCAUGCAAGCCAACAGCUUUUGUUGUGCUGCUGAAGGAGAAUAGGAUGGGGGUAGCGUAAGAGUGCUUUCCUUUCUGCCAUCAAAGCAUACAGUACACAGCACGACAAGGUAUUCACUGUACAGUUCCACUUCCAAGCCAAGCUGAAAGUUUCUUUGCCGAGAACUUGACCCCGGUACAAAGCAGGGCUGACAAGCACCAACCAGGAUGAAGUGCUCAAUCCAGGAUGAAAACGUAAAAACUGUAGCUGAACUAC